CGCCAGUGGCAUAGCUGAGUAGCUACGUAUGGACGGGAUAAGCGCUGAAGGCAUCUAAGCGCGAAGCCCCCCUUAAGAUAAGAUUUCCCAUGACGCAAGUCAGUAAGACCCCAGAAAGACGAUCUGGUUGAUAGGUCGGAGGUGUAAGGGCAGUAAUGUCUUUAGCUGACCGAUACUAAUAGGUCGAGGACUUGACCA
RNAcentral lists this ribosomal RNA (198 nucleotides) under Marinisporobacter balticus. RNAcentral describes it as "partial 23S ribosomal RNA". It matches the Rfam family "Bacterial large subunit ribosomal RNA", at positions 2727 to 2925 of the family's 2925-position model. The record is from RNAcentral. Lineage: Bacteria; Bacillati; Bacillota; Clostridia; Peptostreptococcales; Thermotaleaceae.